GGAGGCGCUAGCCCCUUCCCCCUUGCAACCGCCUACCAGAUCUGCUCUCCCCCUCUUGCAGGCAUCCAAACAUCAGGUCCAGGAUCUAGAAUCUCUUGAGAAGAGGUUGGUACAAGUCUCUCUCAGAUAUGAGUUGAUCUGAAGUCGUUUGAGAUGCGGGUGAGAUCUCCAUCAACAGAUCUACAAAAAGGCUGCAGUAGGACAGAUCUGCGAGGUCUGUCUCCAUCUAUCUUCUUCCCUAUCUAGAAUAUCC
Molecule: long non-coding RNA, 253 nt
Filed under: Elaeis guineensis (African oil palm)
Lineage: Eukaryota; Viridiplantae; Streptophyta; Magnoliopsida; Arecales; Arecaceae
Description: long non-coding RNA (EGUI_LNC043995)
Source: RNAcentral